UACGAAGGGUGCAAGCGUUAAUCGGAAUUACUGGGCGUAAAGCGCGCGUAGGUGGUUCAGUAAGUUGGAAGUGAAAUCCCCGGGCUCAAACUGGGAACUGCUUUCAAAACUGCUGAGCUAGAGUACGGUAGAGGGUGGUGGAAUUUCCUGUGUAGCGGUGAAAUGCGUAGAUAUAGGAAGGAACACCAGUGGCGAAGGCGACCACCUGGACUGAUACUGACACUGAGGUGCGAAAGCGUGGGGAGCAAACAGG
RNAcentral lists this ribosomal RNA (253 nucleotides) under uncultured bacterium. Its description in RNAcentral is "partial 16S ribosomal RNA". It matches the Rfam family "Bacterial small subunit ribosomal RNA", at positions 524 to 776 of the family's 1533-position model. The record is from RNAcentral.